RNAcentral lists this ribosomal RNA (497 nucleotides) under uncultured bacterium. RNAcentral describes it as "partial 16S ribosomal RNA". It matches the Rfam family "Bacterial small subunit ribosomal RNA", at positions 28 to 507 of the family's 1533-position model. The record is from RNAcentral.
GAUGAACGCUGGCGGCGUGCCUAAUACAUGCAAGUCGAGCGAACGGACGAGAAGCUUGCUUCUCUGAUGUUAGCGGCGGACGGGUGAGUAACACGUGGAUAACCUACCUAUAAGACUGGGAUAACUUCGGGAAACCGGAGCUAAUACCGGAUAAUAUUUUGAACCGCAUGGUUCAAAAGUGAAAGACGGUCUUGCUGUCACUUAUAGAUGGAUCCGCGCUGCAUUAGCUAGUUGGUAAGGUAACGGCUUACCAAGGCGACGAUGCGUAGCCGACCUGAGAGGGUGAUCGGCCACACUGGAAAUGCGACACGGUCCAGAAUCAUACGGGAGGCAGCAGUAGGGAAGAUUCAGCAAUGGGCGAAAGCCUGACGGAGCAAUGCCGAGUGAGUGAUGAAGGUCUUCGGAUCGUAAAACUCUGUUAUUAGGGAAGAACAAAUGUGUAAGUAAAUAUGCACGUCUUGACGGUACCUAAUCAGAAAGCCACGGCUAACUACGUG